AACCAGACUCCUACGGGAGGCAGCAGUGGGGGAUAUUGCACAAUGGGGGAAACCCUGAUGCAGCGACGCCGCGUGGACGAAGAAGUAUUUCGGUAUGUAAAGCCCUAUCAGCAGGGAAGAAGAAAUGACGGUACCUGAGUAAGAAGCACCGGCUAAAUACGUGCCAGCAGCCGCGGUAAUACGUAUGGUGCAAGCGUUAUCCGGAUUUACUGGGUGUAAAGGGAGCGCAGGCGGCACGGCAAGCCUGAAGUGGAAGCCCGCGGCCCAACCGCGGAACUGCUUUGGGAACUGUUUUGCUGGAGUAUGGGAGGGGUAAGCGGAAUUCCUGGUGUAGCGGUGAAAUGCGUAGAUAUCAGGAGGAACACCGGUGGCGAAGGCGGCCUGCUGGACUGUAACUGACGUUGAGGCUCGAAAGCGUGGGGAGCAAACAGGAUUAGAUACCCGCGUAA
This 449-nucleotide ribosomal RNA is filed under the name uncultured bacterium. RNAcentral's name for it is "partial 16S ribosomal RNA". It matches the Rfam family "Bacterial small subunit ribosomal RNA", at positions 329 to 793 of the family's 1533-position model. The record is from RNAcentral.